GAGGAUUUGAUCCUGGUCCAGGACGAACGCUGGCGGCGUGGAUAGGGCAUGCAAGUCGAACGAGCCGGUGCUUCGCACCGGAAUAAUCAAUAACCAAGAAACAAUAACCAAGCGGUUUGGUGAUUGUAUCUUGGAAUUUGGUUAUUCCAGCGCGGAGCGCUGGUUAGUGGCGAACGAGUUCAGUAAUACCUUGGAACGUACCGUAGAGUUUGGCAUAACCCAUCGAAAGGUGGGCUAAUUCCAAAUAGUCUGGUAGCCGAUUAUUCGCCGGAAGGCCUAAGUCAAAAAUCAAAAAUCAAAAGUCAAAAUUAAAGUUGCUCCGACGUUGCGUCGGAGCUUCCAAAAUUUUGAACUUUGCAUUUUGAGUUUUGAAUUUAGAGCGCCUUGCGGCCAACAAUCGGUUACCAGUAAAGCCGCAAGGCGCUCUAUGAGCGGCCUAGGUCCUAUCAGCUAGUUGGUGAGGUAACGGCUCACCAAGGCAAUGACGGGUAGGGGGCGUGAGAGCGCGACCCCCAACGAUGGAACUGAGAUUAACCAGUAGUCUCCUCGAGGAGUGAUCCUUGAGAAAAAUCUAGCUUAUAACGGUGAAAUCUCCGGUGUGUAUAAAUGCCUGCCCAAGAUUUAUUGGGAUGUAUUAUACUACCCACUAUGGAGACAACGCCGUGGGAAGUUAACGCUAAGAAUAUAUCGGAUCAAUAUGUUGCCGGUUUUUUGGAUGGCGAUGGCUCUAUUGUGACUGGUAUAGAAAAACGAGCCGACAGGCAUCGAUUUCCAUGCCGAGUCAGGCUUAAAAUUAAUUUCACCCAACAUAUUCGUCAUAAGAACAUGCUUAUAUUGCUUCAGUAAGGCGCUUGGCGAUAUAGGCACCGUAAGAUAUAUUCGCACUCAUAAUCUCUCUGAAUUGGUGAUUCAAAGGCGAGCCGACGUACGAAAAACGUUAGAACGUCUGCUUCCGCACCUUGUGCUGAAGCAGCGACAAGCAAGAAUUAUGCUCGCGAUGAUUGAUAUCUUCGACCGGAAUAUUGUAAACAGCAGAAGCUCAUUGUCUGACAAAGAUUUUGAGAAGUUGUUUGCGAUGGCCCGUGAAUUGCGAGGCAUCAAUUCAGGCGCAGGUGGCAAAAAGAGUUAUGAAAUCGUUAACCCCGUAACGACUCAACCCCAAGUUUACCGAAGGGUUGGAUAGUUUCUGCUUGCAGGAACUAUAAUACGCUAGCUCCCGAUAACUGCGUCGGGAUGAAGACAUAGUCUACACCACAAGUGAUUGUGGAUUAAUGUGACGGUCCAUACACCUACGGGUGGCUGCAGUCGAGAAUAUUCCACAAUGGGCGAAAGCCUGAUGGAGCGACGCCGCGUGCAGGAAGAAGGCCUUCGGGUUGUAAACUGCUUUUCACUGGGAACAAGUCCAGUCCUUUUUGGGUUCUUGAAAAUAAAAUAAGGGGUCAAGCUUGGCCCCUCGAAUGAAAGAUGCCCCUCGUAGUGAUCACUACCCCGAGAGUUUCCGGAGCAGUGACUCGGAAAAGUGUGCGCCGGGACUAUACCCUGCCUUUUGAAGGACGGAACCAUCUUCCUUAGCAAGGAUGAUAGUUGGUCCUUCACCAGGGAGCGGCUGCCGCCCCAUUGGCACACCAUACACCCUAGACACACGGAACGGCCCCUCGCCGUACUCCUCCCGUAGCUUUCGAAUUGUGAAAAAGUGCCUCCAACUACGUGUCCAGCACACGCUGUCGCCAACCGCGAACUUGCCCAUGGCAUUCACCUCCUUGCUGGAAAAAGUAGGAUAAUGCCAAUAAAAUGUCAAGAACUUAAAAAGGACUGGAUUGAGCGUACCAGUGGAAUAAGACGCUGCAAACUUCGUGCCAGCAGCCGCGGUAAUACGAAGGCGUCAAGCGUUGUCCGGAUUUAUUGGGCGUAAAGGGUCUCCAGGCGGUUUUGUUAGUCGGGCGUUAAAUCUCACUGCCCAACGGUGAGGCCGCGUCCGAAACGGCAAAACUAGAGGUACGUAGAGGCAAACGGAACGGUGGGUGUAGGGGUGAAAUCCGUUGAUAUCCACCGGAACACCAGAGGCGAAGGCGGUUUGCUGGACGUAUC
Molecule: ribosomal RNA, 2088 nt
Filed under: Candidatus Sungiibacteriota bacterium
Lineage: Bacteria; Candidatus Sungiibacteriota
Description: bacterial SSU rRNA
Rfam family: Bacterial small subunit ribosomal RNA (bases 1035-2088)
Source: RNAcentral